GAUGAAGAACGAAGCGAAAUGCGAUACUUGGUGUGAAUUGCAGAAUCCCGUGAACCAUCGAGUCUUUGAACGCAAGUUGCGCCCGAAGCCUCGGCUAAGGGCACGUCUGCCUGGGCGUCACGCAUCGCGUCUCCCCCAAACCGCCAAGGCGGAGGGGAAGGAAGAUGGCUUCCCGUGCCUCACCCGGCGCGGUUGGCCUAAAUUUGGAGCCCGCGGCACUUAGCUCUCGUGGCGAUAGGUGGUGAACAAGGCCUUGGCCGUGCAAACAACCCGCUCCGAAUCUCUAUGUCACGUGCGCUCGUCGGACCCUUUGAAGUUGCCUUCGGUGACUUAAAACCUUUGCGACCCCAGGUCAGGCGGGGCUACCCGCUGAAUUUAAGUAUAUCAAUAAGCGGAGGA
This 399-nucleotide unclassified non-coding RNA is filed under the name soil metagenome. RNAcentral describes it as "partial contains 5.8S ribosomal RNA, internal transcribed spacer 2, and large subunit ribosomal RNA". The stretch from base 1 to 120 matches the Rfam family "5.8S ribosomal RNA", at positions 35 to 154 of the family's 154-position model. The record is from RNAcentral.